GCGCACGGGUGAAGUAACGCGUAGGUGACGUGCCUUUUUAGUGGGGGACAACCUCGGGAAACCGGGGCUAAUACCGCAUAAGUUAAACGACAUUGGAAAAGCUUAAGAAAGUGGGCUCCGGCUCACGCUGAAAGAUCGGCCUGCGUAUCAUUAGCUUGUUGGUGGGGUAACGGCCUACCAAGGCGACGAUGAUUAACUGGUCUGAGAGGAUGAUCAGUCACACUGGAACUGAGACACGGUCCAGACUCCUACGGGAGGCAGCAGUAGGGAAUAUUGCGCAAUGGGGGAAACCCUGACGCAGCAAUGCCACGUGAGUGAGGAAGGCCUUCGGGUUGUAAAGCUCUGUCCUAUAGGAAGAACUGCGUCUGGGUUAAUACCUCAGACGUUUGACGGUACUAUAGAAGAAAGCACCGGCUAACUCCGUGCCAGCAGCCGCGGUAAUACGGAGGGUGCAAGCGUUGUUCGGAUUUACUGGGCGUAAAGCGCGCGCAGGCGGAUUGGCAAGUCAGAUGUGAAAUCCCGGGGCUCAACCCCGGAACUGCGUCUGAAAC
This 551-nucleotide ribosomal RNA is filed under the name uncultured bacterium. Its description in RNAcentral is "bacterial SSU rRNA". It matches the Rfam family "Bacterial small subunit ribosomal RNA", at positions 98 to 633 of the family's 1533-position model. The record is from RNAcentral.